GGGUCAGUAGGUUGGUCGUGCCACCGGUACGUACUGGUCUCACUGAUUCCUCCUUCCUGAAGAACUGUAAUGCCAUUAAUUUGGUGUUGCGGGGAAACAGGACUGUUAUUUUGAAAAAAUUAGAGUGUUUAAAGCAAGCUAACGCUUGAAUACAUUAGCAUGGAAUAAUGAAAUAGGACGAUCGAUCCUAUUUUGUUGGUUUCUAGGAUUGACGUA
Molecule: ribosomal RNA, 216 nt
Filed under: Glomeromycotina sp.
Lineage: Eukaryota; Fungi; Glomeromycota
Description: partial small subunit ribosomal RNA
Rfam family: Eukaryotic small subunit ribosomal RNA (bases 40-216)
Source: RNAcentral